UACGAAGGGGGCUAGCGUUGUUCGGAAUUACUGGGCGUAAAGCGCACGUAGGCGGAUUGUUAAGUUAGGGGUGAAAUCCCAGGGCUCAACCCUGGAACUGCCUUUAAUACUGGCAAUCUCGAGUCCGAGAGAGGUGAGUGGAAUCCCGAGUGUAGAGGUGAAAUUCGUAGAUAUUCGGAGGAACACCAGUGGCGAAGGCGGCUCACUGGCUCGGUACUGACGCUGAGGUGCGAAAGCGUGGGGAGCAAACAGG
Molecule: ribosomal RNA, 253 nt
Filed under: uncultured bacterium
Lineage: Bacteria
Description: partial 16S ribosomal RNA
Rfam family: Bacterial small subunit ribosomal RNA
Source: RNAcentral